RNAcentral lists this ribosomal RNA (227 nucleotides) under uncultured bacterium. RNAcentral describes it as "partial 16S ribosomal RNA". It matches the Rfam family "Bacterial small subunit ribosomal RNA", at positions 111 to 334 of the family's 1533-position model. The record is from RNAcentral.
UAACGUGUGGGCAACCUGCCCUGUACUGGGGAAUAAUCAGUUGGAAACGAUGACUAAUACCGCAUGUGGUCCUCGGAAGGCAUCUUCUGAGGGAAGAAAGGAUUUAUUCGGUACAGGAUGGGCCCGCAUCUGAUUAGCUAGUUGGUGAGAUAACAGCCCACCAAGGCGACGAUCAGUAGCCGACCUGAGAGGGUGAUCGGCCACAUUGGGACUGAGACACGGCCCAA